Molecule: long non-coding RNA, 734 nt
Filed under: Olea europaea (common olive)
Lineage: Eukaryota; Viridiplantae; Streptophyta; Magnoliopsida; Lamiales; Oleaceae
Description: long non-coding RNA (OEUR_LNC002919)
Source: RNAcentral
UUUUUUUACAUGUGCUUAUUUAGGGGUUAACCAUAAACUUUUAAUCUUGUAAUACAGAUUUUCAUGACACAUAAUCUACAAAGCUUUAUGGCACAUUUUUGAGUUUCUAGACCAACCACCAAUUUAAAUGUGUUGAAAAUAAGCUCUACCCAAAUGGAUCCUAGUUCUAGAAAUCGUCAUGUACAAUGGAGCGAUUGUAUGAUAAUUGAACUACUGCAUCAAGUAUUGGCCAGCCCCAAAAGGAGUGACAAUGGCUUUUCAUCAUAUCAUGUGUCCAAAGCAAUUGAGAGUAUGUACAAUGGAUGCCGAGUCGUGGUGUUAAUAAGAAUGUGAGGAUGUGAUGAAGACUUUGAAAAAAAAGAAUAUGUUGAAGUUCGUCAGUUUUAAGUAUGGAUGAUUUUGGAUUAGAUACUAACACUAGACAUUUCACAACCGAUGUACUAGUUUGGAAGGAGUUUCUAAAGGUACAUAUUUCAUCGACCAAUGAAAUUAUUAGUCAUUACUUAUUAGUAGUAUAGUUUGUUUUGAAUAUUAACUACGUAUAAAACAUAUUCCACUCUUCGUUUUUUGCAGGGGGCAGAACAAAAUUUGGAAAGUAGAGGACCAAACUAUGUCCUCAUUAUGAUGAUUUGGAAGCUAUCUUUACAAAUGAUUAUGUUAUAGGAGAUCACGCUAUAACCGACAAUGACAAUUUUUCCUCCAUUAAUUGUAUGUAAAAGAUUGUACAUAAAAAA